GGGGGGGGGGGGGGGGGUGGCGGGGGGGGGGGGGGGGGGCGAGGGGACGAGGAGCUGGCGGCUCGGAUGGUAGCGGCGGACGGGGGAGUAACACGUGGAUAACCUACCUAUAAUACGGGGAUAGCUGCGGGCCACCGGAGCUAAUACCGGCGAAUAUUUUUAACCGCAUGUGUCAAAAGUGAAAUAAGGUCGUGCUUUCACUUAUAGAUGGAUCCGCGCUGCAUUAGCUAGUUGGUAAGUUAACGUCUUACCAAGUCAACGAUGCAUAGCCUACCUGAGGGGGUGAUCGGCCACACUGGAACUGAGACACGCUCCAGACUGCUAAGGGAGGCAGCAGUAGGGAAUCUUCCGCAAUGGGCGAAAGCCUGACGGAGCAACGCCGCGUGAGUGAUGAAGGUCUUCGGAUCGUAAAACUCUGUUAUUAGGGAAGAACAUAUGUGUAAGUAACUGUGCACAUCUUGACGGUACCUAAUCAGAAAGCCACGGCUAACUACGUG
Molecule: ribosomal RNA, 497 nt
Filed under: uncultured bacterium
Lineage: Bacteria
Description: partial 16S ribosomal RNA
Rfam family: Bacterial small subunit ribosomal RNA
Source: RNAcentral